GGACCUUUCGGGGUCUAGUGGCGGACGGGUGAGUAACGCGUGAGAACAUGCCCUUAGGUUCGGGACAACAGUUGGAAACGGCUGCUAAUACCGAAUGUGCCGAGAGGUGAAAGAUUAAUUGCCUAAGGAUUGGCUCGCGUCAGAUUAGCUAGUUGGUGGAGUAACGGUUUACCAAGGCGACGAUCUGUAUUUGGUCUGAGAGGAUGACCAGACACACUGGGACUGAGACACGGCCCAGACUCCUACGGGAGGCAGCAGUGGGGAAUUUUCCGCAAUGGGCGAAAGCCUGACGGAGCAAUACCGCGUGAGGGAGGACGGCUUUUGGGUUGUAAACCUCUUUUAUCAGGGAAGAAACAAAUGACGGUACCUGAUGAAUCAGCAUCGGCUAACUCCGUGCCAGCAGCCGCGGUAAUACGGAGGAUGCAAGCGUUAUCCGGAAUUAUUGGGCGUAAAGCGUCCGUAGGUGGUUUUUCAAGUCUGCUGUCAAAGCGUGGAGCUUAACUCCAUAUCGGCAGUGGAAACUGGGAGACUAGAGUGCGAUAGGGGUAACGGGAAUUCCCAGUGUAGCGGUGAAAUGCGUAGAGAUUGGGAAGAACACCAGCGGCGAAAGCGCGUUACUGGGUCUGCACUGACACUGAGGGACGAAAGCUAGGGGAGCGAAAGGGAUUAGAUACCCCUGUAGUCCUAGCCGUAAACGA
Molecule: ribosomal RNA, 698 nt
Filed under: uncultured cyanobacterium
Lineage: Bacteria; Bacillati; Cyanobacteriota
Description: bacterial SSU rRNA
Rfam family: Bacterial small subunit ribosomal RNA
Source: RNAcentral